UACGUAGGGGGCAAGCGUUGUCCGGAAUUAUUGGGCGUAAAGAGCGUGUAGGCGGUCCGGUAAGUCAGCUGUGAAAGUCAAGGGCUCAACCCUUGAAUGCCGGUUGAUACUGUCGGGCUAGAGUCCGGAAGAGGCGAGUGGAAUUCCCGGUGUAGCGGUGAAAUGCGUAGAGAUGUGGAGGAACACCAGUGGCGAAGGCGACUCUCUGGUCUGUAACUGACGCUGAGGCGCGAAAGCGUGGGGAGCAAACAGG
RNAcentral lists this ribosomal RNA (253 nucleotides) under uncultured bacterium. Its description in RNAcentral is "partial 16S ribosomal RNA". It matches the Rfam family "Bacterial small subunit ribosomal RNA", at positions 524 to 776 of the family's 1533-position model. The record is from RNAcentral.